RNAcentral lists this ribosomal RNA (1358 nucleotides) under human gut metagenome. RNAcentral's name for it is "bacterial LSU rRNA". It matches the Rfam family "Bacterial large subunit ribosomal RNA", at positions 1104 to 2487 of the family's 2925-position model. The record is from RNAcentral.
GCUUGGAAGCAGCCAUUCAUUUAAAGAGUGCGUAACAGCUCACUAGUCGAGGAGUCCGGCGUGGAUAAUACUCGGGCAUAAACUGUUUACCGAAGCUAUGGAUGUAGAAAUACAUGGUAGGGGAGCAUUCCAACGGCGUCGAAGGUGAAGGAUGACCUUUGCUGGAGCUUUUGGAAACGCAAAUGUAGGUAUAAGUAACGAUAAAGGAGGUGAGAAACCUCCUCGCCGAAAGACUAAGGUUUCCUGAUCAACGUUAAUCGGAUCAGGGUAAGUCGGGACCUAAGGUUAAGCCGAACGGCGAUACCGAUGGAAGAAUGGUUUAAUAUUCCCAUACUACUUUAUGGAGCGAUGUGGAGACGGAGAAGUGAAAGUCCUGCCAUCUGACGGAAUAGGUGGUUGAAGAGUGUAGAUGUAGAUUCCUGUAGGCAAAUCCGCAGGGAGAGUCGACCUUGAUAGUAUGCCGCGUGCUUGCACAAGGCAAAAUGGACGUAAUCAGGCUCCCAAGAAAAUCCGCUAAGCAUAUUCAUAAAGUACCCGUACCGUAAACGGACACACGUAGUUGGGUUGAAAAUACUGAGGCGCUCGAGUGAUUCACGGUUAAGGAACUAGGCAAAUUGACCCUGUAACUUCGGGAUAAAGGGUCCCAACGAGAGUUGGGCGCAGAGAAUAGGUCCAGGCAACUGUUUAACAAAAACACAGGGCUGUGCCAAAUUGAAAGAUCACGUAUACAGCCUGACACCUGCCCGGUGCUGGAAGGUUAAGAGGAGAUGUCAUCGCAAGAGAAGCAUUGAAUUGAAGCCCCAGUAAACGGCGGCCGUAACUAUAACGGUCCUAAGGUAGCGAAAUUCCUUGUCGGGUAAGUUCCGACCUGCACGAAUGGUGUAAUGAUCCGGACGCUGUCUCAACCAUGAGCUCAGUGAAAUUGUAGUAUCGGUGAAGAUGCCGAUUACCCGCGAUGGGACGAAAAGACCCCGUGAACCUUUACUAUAGCUUAACAUUGAAUUUGGGUAAUUGAUGUGUAGGAUAGGCCGGAGACUUUGAAGCGCAGACGCCAGUUUGUGUGGAGUCGCUGUUGAAAUACGGCCCUUUGAUUAUUUGAGUUCUAACCCGUUGUAACGGGGACACUGUUUGGUGGGUAGUUUGACUGGGGUGGUCGCCUCCAAAAGUGUAACGGAGGCUUCUAAAGGUGCCCUCAGGACGAUUGGUAACCGUCCGCAGAGUGUAAUGGCAUAAGGGCGCUUGACUGGGAGACUUACAAGUCGAUCAGGUAGGAAACUAGAGCAUAGUGAUCCGGUGUUUCCGCAUGGAAGGGACAUCGCUCAAAGGAUAAAAGGUACUCCGGGGAUAACAGGCUGAUC